CUUGGUCAUUUAGAGGAAGUAAAAGUCGUAACAAGGUUUCUGUAGGUGAACCUGCAGAAGGAUCAUUGUUGUAAAACUUAGCGGUCUCUAAGAUACGUUCACUCGUUCAUAGAGGCCGCAAUCCACAAACCAAACACACCUGUGCACACAUAAAUAUCUUUCAAACGCAAAGUAUAUCAUAGAAUGUAGACGAAAAAUCCUUCAAAGGAAGGUGAAAGUUAAAUACAACUUUCGGCAACGGAUCUCUAGGUUCUCCUAUCGAUGAAGAACGCAGCGAAUUGCGAUAAGUAAUUGUGAAUUGCAGAAGUCAGUGAAUCAUCGAAUCUUUGAACGCAUCUUGCGCCCUUUGGUACUCCUUAGGGCAUGCCUGUUUGAGUGUCACGAGCAACCUUUAAACCUCGGGUUUUUUCAUCAAAGCCUGCUUGGGUUUAGUCUUGAGUGUCUGCCCUUUAAAAAUGGGCUCGCUCUAAAUACAUUAGCUGGAAUUCCCUUCCAUAUGGUCGUCUCGCUUUUCUUUAAAGUAGUUUGGCGGACUGUCAGCGUGAUAAGUAUCUUGCUGGUGGCCUGCCUUACAAAAUUUGGAAAUUAUAAAGUGGACGGUCGGAUUGCGAUUUCGCUUCUAACCAAGGAAGCCGGUCCUUUUGAGGAUCGCGUCUUUGCACUAUUUGACAUCUGGCCUCAGACAGGUAGGACUACCCGCUGAACUUAAGCAUAUCAAUAAG
Molecule: ribosomal RNA, 722 nt
Rfam family: 5.8S ribosomal RNA (bases 227-381)